This 610-nucleotide long non-coding RNA is filed under the name Gallus gallus (chicken). The record is from RNAcentral. Lineage: Eukaryota; Metazoa; Chordata; Aves; Galliformes; Phasianidae.
GUGGGGACUGACGGCUGCGUUCUGACUCCCCUCCUUCCCCGGCGGUGGGGCUGGGGUAGAGCGGGGUCGGCCGUCGGGGCCGCAAAAUAAAAUAAUCGUAAAAUAAUCAUCACAAAAGUACUAAUGAUGAAACAUCCCAACUGCUGAAACGGCCAAACGAAGCUAAAAAGGCGCGCGAGAAUGGAAAAGAAAAAAAUAAAAGAAAGCAACCAAAACCCCACGACAUUCUGCUAUAACGCAAUUCUGGGUGCGCAGAAAAACCAGGCACGGGAAGGGCCCGGGGAGCCCCGGCGACGGGGCCGGGAUGGCGAGGAGCGGUGGUCCGGAGGAUGCCCCGCACCGAACGCAACGAGCGGCGUCGCUCCGAUGUUUCCCGAGCGAGCGCGUCGGAUGCUUUUGUUUGGAUUUUGCCUUUAAUUUUUUUGGUUAUCGACAAAAUCUUUCGAACGCGUGUUCGCUCCCAACGGGGAGGAGAGGGGCACCGCUCCCGCAGCGCUCCCGGCCCCGCAACGCUCCCGGCCCCGCACGAGCGUACCCACGCGGCGGCCGCCUCGGCAAACUUUCCCGGGGCCCGGCCCGGCCCCUUCCCUGCCGCCCCCCCUCCUCCCCG